Molecule: ribosomal RNA, 477 nt
Filed under: uncultured bacterium
Lineage: Bacteria
Description: partial 16S ribosomal RNA
Source: RNAcentral
CACAGAGUUAGUCGCCACUUCCUCUGGGGUAGAUCAGAACUUUCUUACCCCUGACAGUGGUUUACAUCCCGAAGGACUUCAUCCCACACGCGGCGUCGCUCCAUCACACUUUCGUGCAUUGUGGAAGAUUCGUUACUGCAGCCCCCCCGUAGGAGUCCGGACAGUGUCUCAGUUCCGAUGUGGCCGACCGACCUCUCAGUCCGGCUACGCGUCAUUGCCUUGGUAAGCCGUUACCUUACCAACUAGCUGAUACGAUAUAGCCCCAUCCCCAGACCGGUUGCCCGUUGAGCACAAUGCCAUGCGACAUCGUGAUAUCAUCUGGUAUUACCCAACCUUUCGGUUGGCUAUCCCAGGAGUCCGGGGUAGUAGCUAUACAUUACUCACCCGUGCCGCCACUGAUGUAUUGCCUACACCCGUGCGACUUGCAUGUCUUAGCCACGCCGCCAGCGUUCAGGCUGAGCCAGGACUCAAACUCGU